GACGAACGCUGGCGGCGUGCUUAACACAUGCAGGUCGUACGGUAAGGCCCUUUCGGGGGUACACGAGUGGCGCACGGGUGAGUAACACGUGAGUAACCUGCCCACAACUUUGGGAUAACGCUAGGAAACUGGUGCUAAUACUGGAUAUGUGCUCCUGCUGCAUGGUGGGGGUUGGAAAGCUCCGGCGGUUGUGGAUGGACUCGCGGCCUAUCAGCUUGUUGGUGGGGUAGUGGCCUACCAAGGCGGCGACGGGUAGCCGGCCUGAGAGGGUGACCGGCCACAUUGGGACUGAGAUACGGCCCAGACUCCUACGGGAGGCAGCAGUGGGGAAUAUUGCACAAUGGGCGCAAGCCUGAUGCAGCAACGCCGCGUGCGGGAUGACGGCCUUCGGGUUGUAAACCGCUUUCAGCAGGGACGAAGCUUUUUGUGACGGUACCUGCAGAAGAAGCACCGGCUAACUACGUG
This 465-nucleotide ribosomal RNA is filed under the name uncultured bacterium. RNAcentral's name for it is "partial 16S ribosomal RNA". It matches the Rfam family "Bacterial small subunit ribosomal RNA", at positions 28 to 507 of the family's 1533-position model. The record is from RNAcentral.